This is a long non-coding RNA of Malaclemys terrapin pileata, 668 nucleotides long. RefSeq lists it as uncharacterized. The transcript is spliced from 3 exons. Lineage: Eukaryota; Metazoa; Chordata; Testudines; Emydidae. The record is from RefSeq and is a predicted model, not a curated record.
CAGCAACAGGUGUGUAUGUCCUAGCUGAAAAUGGACUUUCCGGAGCAGCAGGCUGGGCUGGGCAAUCAGUCAGUGCCUGGACUUUAUCCAAAAGGAGGUGUAGUCAGCCCCGCCUCACUGCGUACCCAAGGGAGAUUCUCCCAUCAUUUCUGGUCUUGGGGGACCCUUUGGAAAUGACAACCUGAAUUGCCAGUCUGACCCAAAUCCAUCACUAAAUAUAUCAUCUCUAGCUCACGGGAUAAUGCAUUAUGUUGGUUCAACAUGAUGCCCUUAAAACUUGGCAGUAAUUUUUGGAGAGAAACAACCAUGUUUUCCAAGUUGUAUUUUCUAAGAAAUAAAAUUGUUUGAAGUGCCUGAAGUUAUUUGCUUGAUGAAACACAGUUGGCCAAGAAGGUCCCUGCAAUGACUUGCUCAACAAAACACUCUGUGCCAGCUGUGCCUAAAAUAAUUUUGUUGACUAAAUGAAUUUUGUCAUCUGUGCAGGAAGUCAUUAUGGAGUGGGGAAAAUAUGCAAUGACGAAGUACAAAAUGAUUUCUGUUGAUCUAAAAAAUUCAGGGUUGUCAUUCCGGAGCAUUUCCACAAAUGUGCACCGUGAAGGCCACGGACUGCGUCAGCCUCUCCCAUGGUUCUGUUUGCUGCCGGAGCUCUGAUUAGCUCAGACCAGCCA